RNAcentral lists this unclassified non-coding RNA (373 nucleotides) under soil metagenome. RNAcentral describes it as "partial contains internal transcribed spacer 2 and large subunit ribosomal RNA". The stretch from base 1 to 120 matches the Rfam family "5.8S ribosomal RNA", at positions 35 to 154 of the family's 154-position model. The record is from RNAcentral.
GAUGAAGAACGUAGCGAAAUGCGAUAAUUAAUGUGAAUUGCAGAAUUCCGUGAAUCAUCGAGUCUUUGAACGCACAUUGCGCCUCAUGGCAUUCCGUGAGGCAUGCCCAUCUCAGCGUUAGAAAAUAUUCUCAAAUUUUAGUUUUGUGCUAAAAUUUGGAUCAUGUCAAAGAAGCUAUUACUAUUAUUGUGAUCGCUCUUUGGAAAUUGAUAGGUCUUUGAGUUGCUACUCAUAGAACGUGAUGAAUCUUUCUUCGUUCUAUUGUAAUUCACUCUGGUGGUCCUAAAACUUGUAUGCCUGUGGCAUAUCUUGUAAUUUGACCUGAGAUUGGGUAGGGAUACCCGCUGAACUUAAGCAUAUCAUAAGCGGAGGA